Molecule: ribosomal RNA, 246 nt
Filed under: uncultured bacterium
Lineage: Bacteria
Description: partial 16S ribosomal RNA
Rfam family: Bacterial small subunit ribosomal RNA
Source: RNAcentral
AUACGUAGGGGGCGAGCGUUGUCCGGAUUUACUGGGCGUAAAGGGUGAGUAGGCGGUUAUGUAUGUCAGAUGUAAAAGGCACAGGCUUAACUUGUGUUAGCAUUUGAAACUGCAUAACUUGAGUGCAGGAGAGGUAAGUGGAAUUCCUAGUGUAGCGGUGAAAUGCGUAGAUAUUAGGAGGAACACCAGUGGCGAAGGCGACUUACUGGACUGUAACUGACGCUGAGUCACGAAAGCGUGGGUAGC